RNAcentral lists this transfer RNA (65 nucleotides) under bovine gut metagenome. It matches the Rfam family "tRNA", at positions 6 to 65 of the family's 71-position model. Rfam says of the family: Transfer RNA (tRNA) molecules are approximately 80 nucleotides in length. The record is from RNAcentral.
CGUAGCUUAAUGGAUAGAGCGAUGGCCUCCGGAGCCAUUAGUGUGAGUUCAAUUCUCAUCGGGUG